UUUCGACAUAGCCAGCGUCGUUGUCGUGCCGGUCUGCAGUGUUUGGGCUCACAGCAUGAAGCCAGCGCAGGUCCUGGUCCCUGGACCGCAGCCGCCCGCUGUGGGAGGCGUGUGCGGGGAGGCGUGCGGGGCGCGGGCACUGCUCACCUGAGCUGUGUGUGUUCUCUGCCGCAGGCCUGCCCAUGCGAUCGUGCCUGGAGCACUCUGGUUUCCAGGUGGCAGACACGGUUCACGCAUCUUAGUACACGAGACACCUUCGAGGCUGGGGUCGGCUGGACUAGGAGAGCUAUUCUGGGAGCGGCCGGCGGCAGGUCAGCAGGUGCGUCUCCGCAGAGCCCGGGCCAGCUUUGCUGCCUGCAGGCACCUUCUUCUCCGUCCACGCCCUGUGCCGACCCCAGCUGACCACGAGAAAGGACCGCGUGGCUAAAUGAGUGCCGGUCUUGCUGCCUGCGUGUCUUUAACAGAGUGCAUGCGCUGACUUUCCUCUAACAAUGAAAUUGUGACUGCACCGGGCGGCUGUGGGACAUGAAGCCGCGUGGCCAUCAGCACCCCCUUUGCUCGCACAGCGAGGACGUUUUCUUAGCGUUGGCACUAGCACUGGGGCUGCCAGGCCGGCCGCGGGCAGGCGCCUCUGCUAGACUCCUGUGGUCGCUGUGAGCCUGGCUGUGUGGUGGUGGCAGAGCUGUGUCUGCGCCG
Molecule: long non-coding RNA, 696 nt
Filed under: Oryctolagus cuniculus (rabbit)
Lineage: Eukaryota; Metazoa; Chordata; Mammalia; Lagomorpha; Leporidae
Description: lncRNA (ENSOCUG00000037945.1)
Source: RNAcentral